RNAcentral lists this ribosomal RNA (230 nucleotides) under uncultured bacterium. RNAcentral's name for it is "partial 16S ribosomal RNA". It matches the Rfam family "Bacterial small subunit ribosomal RNA", at positions 524 to 750 of the family's 1533-position model. The record is from RNAcentral.
UACAGAGGAUGCAAGCGUUAUCCGGAAUGAUUGGGCGUAAAGCGUCUGUAGGUGGCUUUUUAAGUCCGCCGUCAAAAUCCCAGGGCUCAACUCUGGACAGGCGGUGGAAACUACCAAGCUGGAGUACGGUAGGGGCAGAGGGAAUUUCCGGUGGAGCGGUGAAAUGCGUAGAGAGUCGGAAAAGAACACCAACGGCGAAAGCGGCUCACUGGACCACAACUGACGCUGAG